This 46-nucleotide non-coding RNA is filed under the name Schistosoma mattheei. The record is from RNAcentral. Lineage: Eukaryota; Metazoa; Platyhelminthes; Trematoda; Strigeidida; Schistosomatidae.
GUACUGCUGAGGAGUCCCACAAUAGGACGAAGUGGCCGUCCAGUGC